RNAcentral lists this long non-coding RNA (1423 nucleotides) under Homo sapiens (human). Its description in RNAcentral is "HSALNT0361246". The record is from RNAcentral. Lineage: Eukaryota; Metazoa; Chordata; Mammalia; Primates; Hominidae.
CUCACCUGCUCCUGCCACUUCACCUGAAGUCCUUAUCCUGUGACGUCACAGUCAGUUGCCAUAGUGACCAAUUGUCCGUCACAAGCAGAGGAUUAGGACUUCGGAUGGAGAAGACACACAUUUACGAUGCACAAAGGUCCUGGGAGGUCUCCCUUGGCAGUUAACUCUACCCACCAGGAAGAUCCAGUCACACACAAGCAGGGAGGGAAAAAGGGAAGAAUGAACAGGGUUGACUGGAGGAGACAUUAGGAUGGGGCAAGACUACAAGUACAGCAUAAUUUCAAAAGCACAGAGCAACCAGAUGAGGGGGAGUGGCAGGGAUGUGCUUGGAAAGACCGGAAGGAGAGUAAGCUCCUGAAGGGACCUGAAUGCUAAGCUCAGGAGCUUGACCUUCAUCCUAAAAUAAAAGGCAGCCCAAAAAGUUUCUGGAGAGUGACUGAGCUGGGCUUUAUGAUUAUCUUGAUGGACUGAACACAGGGAGGUCAGGGUAGUUGAGCAUUAAUGGGACCCUAAAUAAGGGUAAAAAUGGAAAAAAGCAAAAGAAGACUCAUUUCAAAGAGAACUGACAGGACACAAGCAAAUUAGGAUGUUGGGGCUAGUGGUGGUGUGUGAAGAACAAGGAAUCAAGUGGAGGGGCUGUCAUGAACAGAGAGACAGGGCCUUACUAUGUUGCCCAGGCUGGUGUUGAACUCCUGACCUCAGGAUAUGUGACCAUAUUCCACUGAUCAAAAACCUUCAAUGGCUCCCCACUGUCCACAGAAUAGCUUAAUCAAGAUCCUUCACAAUUUGGCCCUAAAUUUCCUUUCUGAACAGAAUCCCCACUUCUCUCCUUCAAGCAUCCCAUACUCCAGCCAAAAUUAACUCCCUCCUGUUUCUAAUAUUUGCCUUCCCCUCCCCUGCGUGUGCCUCAUCCUAACACUAUUCCCUACCUGGGAGUCCCUUGCACAUUUUUCUGACUCUGCCUGGUUCCUCUACAGCUAUUCCUACUUGGUGUCACCUACAGAUUCAAACCACCCAAUUUCCCCAGACAGAACCUAAAACAGGGGUCAGAAAACCACAGACUGCCUGUUCUUGUAAAUAAAGAAUACAGUAAUGCCCAUUCAUUUCCAUAUUGUCUAUGGCUGCCUUCUGCUUUUCUGCUACAAUGGUAGAGCUAAGUAGUUGUAACAGAGACUGUAUGACCCACAAAGCCUAAAAUAUUUACUAUCUAGCCUUGUGCAGAAAGUUUAUGACAUCUGGCCUAAAGCAACAGCUCCUUAAAUUGUGCUAGCCUCACCCUUUGGAGUUUAAUUCUGAUUACGGGGAUUUUGCUUGUUCCAAGCCCACGUCCAUCUUUGUGAACUCUAAUUCUGAUAACUGGGUCACAUCUGAGCUGGACCUUCAAGUUUGUGUAGGAUGUUUCAAGCAAGAAAAGGCAUUUCAG